ACGGAAGGCAGCAGUGGGGAAUAUUGGGCAAUGGGCGAAAGCCUGACCCAGCAACGCCGCGUGAAGGAAGAAGGCCUUCGGGUUGUAAACUUCUUUUACCAGGGACGAAGGACGUGACGGUACCUGGAGAAAAAGCAACGGCUAACUACGUGCCAGCAGCCGCGGUAAUACGUAGGUUGCAAGCGUUGUCCGGAUUUACUGGGUGUAAAGGGCGUGUAGACGGAGAGGCAAGUCAGAUGUGAAAUCCCGGGGCUCAACCCCGGAACUGCAUUUGAAACUGUCUCCCUUGAGUAUCGGAGAGGCAAGCGGAAUUCCUGGUGUAGCGGUGAAAUGCGUAGAUAUCAGGAGGAACACCGGUGGCGAAGGCGGCUUGCUGGGCUUUUACUGACGCUGAGGCUCGAAAGCGUGGGGAGCAAACAGGAUUAGAUACCCUGGUA
Molecule: ribosomal RNA, 437 nt
Filed under: uncultured Clostridium sp.
Lineage: Bacteria; Bacillati; Bacillota; Clostridia; Eubacteriales; Clostridiaceae
Description: partial 16S ribosomal RNA
Rfam family: Bacterial small subunit ribosomal RNA
Source: RNAcentral